GGACAAUCUGCCCUCGAGACGGGGAUAACCCCGGGAAACUGGGGAUAAUACCCGAUAGGUCUGAGAUGAUGGAAGGCCCUCAGGCCCAAACCCUGCGGGGCUCGAGGAUGGGUCUGCGGCCUAUCAGGUAGUAGGGGGUUUCACGGACCCCCUAGCCAUAGACGGGUACGGGCUUUGGGAGAAGUCGCCCGGAGAUGGAUUCUGAGACACGAAUCCAGGUCCUACGGGACGCAGCAGGCGCGAAACCUCCACAAUGUGGGCAACCACGAUGGGGGAACUCCAAGUGUCUACACUAUGUGUAGUCUGUUCUCGAGCCUAAAAAGCUCGAGAAGUAAGGGCCGGGUAAGACGGGUGCCAGCCGCCGCGGUAAUACCCGCGGCCCGAGUGGUGCUCAUUAUUAUUGAGCCUAAAGCGUCCGUAGCUGGCCGGGCAAAUCUCCGGGUAAACCGGGCCGCCCAACGGUCCGAACGCCGGAGACACUGCUCGGCUUGGGAUCGGGAGAGGGUGAAGGUACUCCCGGGGUAGGGGUAAAAUCCUGUACUCCGGGGGGGACCACCAGUGGCGAAGGCGUUCACCUAGAACGAAUCCGACAGUGAGGGACGAAGCCCUAGGGCGCAAACGGGAUUAGAUACCCCGGUAGUCUAGGGUGUAAACUCUGCAGACUUGGUGUUGGGGGUCCUGCGUGGGCUCCCAGUGCCGGAGUGAAGAUGUUAAGUCUGCCGCUUGGGGAGUACGGUCGCAAGACUGAAACU
RNAcentral lists this ribosomal RNA (752 nucleotides) under uncultured archaeon. Its description in RNAcentral is "bacterial SSU rRNA". It matches the Rfam family "Archaeal small subunit ribosomal RNA", at positions 102 to 856 of the family's 1478-position model. The record is from RNAcentral.